AUACCGGCUGCUCGAGUGAUGGCCACUAUUACUGGGUUUAAAGCGUCCGUAGCUUGACUGUUAGGUCUCUUGGGAAAUCUUCACGCUCAACGUGAAGGCGUCUAAGAGAUACCGGCAGUCUUGGAACUGGGAGAGGUAAACCGUACUUCGGGGGUAGGAGUGAAAUCUUGUAAUCCUCGAGGGACGACCUAUGGCGAAGGCAGUUUACCAGAACAGCUUCGACAGUGAGGGACGAAAGCUGGGGGAGCAAACGGGAUUAGAUACCCCGGUAGUCCCAGCCGUAAACAAUGUGCGUUAGGUGUGUCGGUAACCACGUGUUACUGAUGCGCCGAAGAGAAAUCGUGAAACGCACCACCUGGGAAGUACGGUCGCAAGGCUGAAACUUAAAGGAAUUGGCGGGGGAGCACCACAACAGGUGGAGCCUGCGGUUUAAUUGGAUUCAACGCCGGACAUCUCACCGGAUAAGACAGCUGAAUGAUUGUCAAUCUGAAGGUUUUACAUGACUAGCUGAGAGGAGGUGCAUGGCCGUCGUCAGUUCGUACUGUGAAGCAUCCUGUUAAGUCAGGCAACGAGCGAGACCCACGCCGACAAUUGCCAGCAGCAUCUCCGGAUGGCUGGGGACAUUGUCGGGACCGCCUCUGCUAAAGAGGAGGAAGGAAUGGGCAACGGUAGGUCAGCAUGCCCCGAAUUAUCCGGGCUACACGCGGGCUACAAUGGACGGGACAAUGGGUAACAACACCGAAAGGUGCAGUCAAUCUCCUAACCCCGUCCUUAGUUAGGAUUGCGGGUUGCAACUCACCCGCAUGAAUCUGGAAUCUGUAGUAAUCGCGUUUCACUAUAGCGCGGUGAAUACGUCCCUGCUCCUUGCACACACCGCCCGUCAAACCAUCCUAGUGGGGUUUGGAUGAGUCCCUGGUC
RNAcentral lists this ribosomal RNA (918 nucleotides) under uncultured bacterium. Its description in RNAcentral is "bacterial SSU rRNA". It matches the Rfam family "Archaeal small subunit ribosomal RNA", at positions 473 to 1390 of the family's 1478-position model. The record is from RNAcentral.